Molecule: ribosomal RNA, 1265 nt
Filed under: uncultured candidate division WS6 bacterium
Lineage: Bacteria
Description: bacterial SSU rRNA
Rfam family: Bacterial small subunit ribosomal RNA
Source: RNAcentral
CGCGUUGGAACUUACCCUCUAGUCAAGGAUAACCACCCGAAAGGGUGAUCAAUCCUGGAUAUGGUCAUGUAUUCUUUACAUGAUCAAAGGCUUCGGUCGCUAGAGGAUAGGCCUGCGUCCUAUCAGGUUGUUGGUGAGGUAAAAGCUCACCAAGCCUAUGACGGGUAACUGGUCUGAGAGGAUGAUCAGUCAGACUGGGACUGCGACACGGCCCAUACUCCUACGGGAGGCAGCAAUUAGGAAUCUUGCGCAAUGGACGAAAGUCUGACGCAGCGACGUCGAGUGGUGGAUGAAUGCCUUCGGGUUGUAAACACCUUUUGCACGUGAACAAGUUCUGAAUGUAACUUACGAAUUAAGCACCUUCCAUCUACGUGCCAGAAGAAUCGGUGAUACGUAGGGUGCAUGCGUUUUCCGGAAAUUACUGGGCGUAAAGAGAUGCGUAGGCGUCUUAGUAAGUCUAUAGUGAAAGCUUCCAGCUUAACUGGAAAAAUGUUAUAGAAACUACUUUGAUUGAGAGAGACAGAGGAAAGGGGAAUUCCUGGUGGAGCGGUGAAAUGCGUUGAUAUCAGGAGGGAUACCAAUGGCGAAGGCACCUUUCUGGGUCUCAUCUGACGCUAAGGCUCGAAAGCUAGGGUAGCAAAACGGAUUAGAUACCCGUGUAGUCCUAGCCGUAAACGAUCCCUAUUAGAUAUUUGUUUUGGUUGAGGUAUUUGACUUCGGUUAAAUACGGACGCUGAGAUGAGUAUCACAGCUAACGCAGUAAAUAGGGCGCCUGGGGAGUACGGCCGCAAGGCUAAAACUCAAAGGAAUUGACGGGGACCCGCACAAGCAGUGGAGCGCUUGGUUUAAUUCGAUGCUAACCGAAGAACCUUACCAAGGCUUGAACUGUAGCUGUGGUCACGUAGAAAUAUGUGACGUCUUCGAGAAUGCUACAGAGGUGCUGCAUGGCUGUCGUCAGCUCGUGUCGUGAGAUGUAGGGUUAAGUCCCACAACGAGCGCAACCCCUGUCCAGUGUUAUAAUUACUCUGGAGACUGCCUUGCCAAAACGGGGAGGAAGGUGGGGACGACGUCUAGUCAUCAUAGCCCUUACGUCUUGGGCUACACAAGCGCUACAAUGGUUAGUACAAUGGGUGGCCAAACAGCAAUGUGGAGCUAAUCCCAUAAAACUAAUCUCAGUUCAGAUUGUCGGCUGCAAUUCGCCGGCAUGAAGUCGGAAUUGCUAGUAAUCGCGUAUCAGCAUGACGCGGUGAAUACGUUCUCGGGUC